AUUGAACGCUGGCGGCAUGCUUUACACAUGCAAGUCGAACGGUAACAGGGUGCUUGCACCGCUGACGAGUGGCGGACGGGUGAGUAAUGCGUCGGAACGUGCCGAGUAGUGGGGGAUAACGCAGCGAAAGUUGUGCUAAUACCGCAUACGUACUGAGGUAGAAAGUGGGGGACCUUCGGGCCUCACGCUAUUCGAGCGGCCGACGUCUGAUUAGCUAGUAGGUGAGGUAAAGGCUCACCUAGGCGACGAUCAGUAGCGGGUCUGAGAGGAUGAUCCGCCACACUGGGACUGAGACACGGCCCAGACUCCUACGGAAGGCAGCAGUGGGGAAUUUUGGACAAUGGGCGAAAGCCUGAUCCAGCCAUGCCGCGUGUCUGAAGAAGGCCUUCGGGUUGUAAAGGACUUUUGUCAGGGAGGAAAUCCCUAGUGCUAAUAACACUGGGGGAUGACAGUACCUGAAGAAUAAGCACCGGCUAACUACGAGCCAGCCGCCGCGGUAA
This 500-nucleotide ribosomal RNA is filed under the name uncultured bacterium. RNAcentral's name for it is "partial 16S ribosomal RNA". It matches the Rfam family "Bacterial small subunit ribosomal RNA", at positions 30 to 523 of the family's 1533-position model. The record is from RNAcentral.